GCGUAGCAAUACGUCAGCGGCAGACGGGUGAGUAACGCGUGGGAACGUACCUUUUGGUUCGGAACAACACAGGGAAACUUGUGCUAAUACCGGAUAAGCCCUUACGGGGAAAGAUUUAUCGCCGAAAGAUCGGCCCGCGUCUGAUUAGCUAGUUGGUAGGGUAAUGGCCUACCAAGGCGACGAUCAGUAGCUGGUCUGAGAGGAUGAUCAGCCACAUUGGGACUGAGACACGGCCCAAACUCCUACGGGAGGCAGCAGUGGGGAAUAUUGGACAAUGGGGGCAACCCUGAUCCAGCCAUGCCGCGUGAGUGAUGAAGGCCCUAGGGUUGUAAAGCUCUUUUGUGCGGGAAGAUAAUGACGGUACCGCAAGAAUAAGCCCCGGCUAACUUCGUGCCAGCAGCCGCGGUAAUACGAAGGGGGCUAGCGUUGCUCGGAAUCACUGGGCGUAAAGGGUGCGUAGGCGGGUCUUUAAGUCAGGGGUGAAAUCCUGGAGCUCAACUCCAGAACUGCCUUUGAUACUGAAGAUCUUGAGUUCGGGAGAGGUGAGUGGAACUGCGAGUGUAGAGGUGAAAUUCGUAGACAUUCGCAAGAACACCAGUGGCGAAGGCGGCUCACUGGCCCGAUACUGACGCUGAGGCACGAAAGCGUGGGGAGCAAACAGGAUUAGAUACCCUGGUAGUCCACGCCGUAAACGAUG
Molecule: ribosomal RNA, 697 nt
Filed under: uncultured bacterium
Lineage: Bacteria
Description: bacterial SSU rRNA
Rfam family: Bacterial small subunit ribosomal RNA
Source: RNAcentral